UGGCGGUUUAGUGUAACCUGGUAGCAUAACGGCCUCCUUAGCCGUAGAAGCAGGUUCAAAUCCUGCGGCCGCAA
RNAcentral lists this transfer RNA (74 nucleotides) under Candidatus Colinaster equi. RNAcentral's name for it is "tRNA-Arg". It matches the Rfam family "tRNA". Rfam says of the family: Transfer RNA (tRNA) molecules are approximately 80 nucleotides in length. Their secondary structure includes four short double-helical elements and three loops (D, anti-codon, and T loops). Further hydrogen bonds mediate the characteristic L-shaped molecular structure. tRNAs have two regions of fundamental functional importance: the anti-codon, which is responsible for specific mRNA codon recognition, and the 3' end, to which the tRNAs corresponding amino acid is attached (by aminoacyl-tRNA synthetases). tRNAs cope with the degeneracy of the genetic code in two manners: having more than one tRNA (with a specific anti-codon) for a particular amino acid; and 'wobble' base-pairing, i.e. permitting non-standard base-pairing at the 3rd anti-codon position. The record is from RNAcentral. Lineage: Bacteria; Bacillati; Bacillota; Clostridia; Lachnospirales; Lachnospiraceae.